CCUACGGGUGGCAGCAGUGAGGAAUAUUGGUCAAUGGACGAGAGUCUGAACCAGCCAAGUAGCGUGAAGGAUGACUGCCCUAUGGGUUGUAAACUUCUUUUAUAUGGGAAUAAAAUGUUCCACGUGUGGGAUUUUGUAUGUACCAUAUGAAUAAGGAUCGGCUAACUCCGUGCCAGCAGCCGCGGUAAUACGGAGGAUCCGAGCGUUAUCCGGAUUUAUUGGGUAUAAAGGGAGCGUAGGUGGAUUGUUAAGUCAGUUGUGAAAGUUUGCGGCUCAACCGUAAAAUUGCAGUUGAAACUGGCAGUCUUGAGUACAGUAGAGGUGGGCGGAAUUCGUGGUGUAGCGGUGAAAUGCUUAGAUAUCACGAAGAACUCCGAUUGCGAAGGCAGUUCACUGGACUGCAACUGACACUGAGGCUCGAAAGUGUGGGUAUCAAACAGGAUUAGAUACCCUUGUAGUC
Molecule: ribosomal RNA, 460 nt
Filed under: uncultured bacterium
Lineage: Bacteria
Description: partial 16S ribosomal RNA
Rfam family: Bacterial small subunit ribosomal RNA
Source: RNAcentral